UUUAUUAUUUCCUUACUAUAAAAGGAAAACAGUUCUUCCAGUUCUUAUUCUGCAGACGGUAAAAAUUUUCCAUCCAUAGUUUCCUGCAGUGCUGUAUACUUGUAACACUUCACCAUCUUGUCAUCAGCAUCCCAGUAAUAAUAUUAUUAUAGACUCAAAACUCCGAGUAGUGCACCAUAAUCUACAAGUCAAUGCCAUUCAUUGGCUGACUGAGAGCUUUUGCCAAUGUCUUCUUGUGGCAGAUGGCUGGAAGAUGAUAAAGUCAAAGUUCAUCUUCUCUGUAUGAAACAAGCUAAAAACUACUGCAGGUUUAAUAUUUUGUGGUGGUUAGAAGAGUUAUUGAUGAAUGUCCUGAGAGCACUUGUUCUCUUUGCUUUAGAGAGUUCAACACCAAAAGCCUCACAUGCUCUGACACACUUCAUGUGGCUGAGGACCCUCACUUCUCCGCGUUAAACUCCUGGUUUCAGCACAAGCUAGAACCCUAGAAAAGCUUCUGAAGGAUUCUCCCACCUUUUCUUCAUCUUGGUCUUCUUUUCACACAGCUUUCAAGUAAAGAUAUGUCGCUGGCCCAAAGUUCAAUUAAGAUGUGGCAACUUGAUGAAGCAUAGUUCACUGAGUGUUGGUAAGUUGGGGGAAGCUUUCUGGCAUUGGGUCGUCCAAGACGAGAUCGAAGUGCCCCGCAAAACAAUCAGUCAUGUUGCUCUGCUCCAACUGAAAUAAGAUUCAGCAGAGAGCGAAUUUAAUGUGUCUCUCCUGAGUUCUUGCCCUCUUGAUGUGGCUACUUGGUGAAGCAUUAGUUCACUGAAUGUUUGAAACCUCGGGGGGAAGCUUUCUGACAUCAGAUGAUAGAAGACAAAUCGAAGUGCCCUGCAAAACAAUCAUAGACAUGUCGCUCUGCUGUAACUGAAACAAGAUUAAGAAGACAGUGGUUUGAUAUAUAUGGAACAAAGUGUGUCAAAGCAAAUGCAGAUCAAUAUGUAAUGCUUUUUCAGAGACAUACAACAUCAAACAGACGCAUUCGGUCAUGAAAUGAGUCUUUUGUCUUGCAAGGUGUAAAUUCUAUUCAUUUUGGCAUCAAUUCAUGAACCAUUUAGCCUGAAAAUUGUUGCUGUUUGGCCAGCUGUGCCAUCUGCUCAACUUCCUUUCAAUAGUUCAUGAGUUGUGUCUAACGAGGGAUAAUAAUACAUGCAUGACACAGUAUGGCACCAGUGGGACCUGAAGAACCUAAUUGUCAAAUGAUGGCAUCAUUCUAACAACUUAGUGGAUCCACCAUCAUUUGGCCUCGGGCAGGAUUCGACUGAUUCUAUGUAAUGCACAUCAAAGAAGAAAAAAGAAGAGGAUAUGAAAUGAAGUUAUAAUGGAGGUGGUUGACCUUUCCUUUUCACCAACUUUAAGACUAGAGGCCAAUAAUAUCUUAACCUAGACUAAGUUUUCCCUGCAAUUUGAUCUUACUUGACUUGACUAUAUCUGUACUUGCAGCAAAUUUGCAGAUAGCACAUAGGCUAUUUACGUGGAGGUUCAAAUUUCAAAAUCAAGAAUCUCCCUGUAAAUACGAAAGAUUGGAAAUCAUAGUAUUACACUAGUCUAGUUACAUUCUCUAAGACCAAGCUCAUUCAACUAGAUGUUUGAGCUUACUAGAGAUAAUCUGUUUGGAGAUACCUGUCUUCAUGGAUGAUCACUGAAGCAUCACAAGCCAGCUUAAAUAAUCAGAUGAAAAGAUUUAAUGUGCCUAGACCGUUGUGCUAAACAUGUUAAGGCACCUGAUAAAUAAACAAGACAAAAGAUUUAGGAUAUGAGAGGAAAAGAAAAUUCAUUUCUCUCUGCAUGGUUUAGAUGGGCAUGAGGAAUAAGUAGAAAGAAAUAAGGGCCCUUAAAAAAUCUUCAUGGCACUACUUUUCAUGUCAAUGAUCCACAAGAUGAGCUUAAAGAUGAAACUGACUUUUAGAUGUUUGUGUAUGUCUGAUAGCACCUCACAUCACAAUGUACAUUAAAAUCCUUUGCAUUGACUACUCCAGGCCCCCUGUUACAAGAAAGAUGUGGAUUAUUGACCAAAGUGGGGCACUUCUUCAACAAAUCCAAAGAAAAAAAAAAGAUAGAAAUUACUUAUGAAUUUUACAUCUUAACUAUCACUCUUUGAAACAAAAUGUAGAUUUUGCUAAUAUGAUUGCACCAAGAAACUUUAGGAUGGAGCUUUGAUGCAAAUCACACUCGAGAGUGGAUUUGAGAAUUGUAAAAGAAGCAAGAAAUGUCAUGCAUGUUUUAGGGGUUAACUACAGAAGGAGCAUAGAAGAAAAAUGUUGGCAAAAUGAAGCACAGUGGUAGCCACAGAUCACAGGAACUUGUAAUGGUCCUAAUUGUCUCAAAUGGACUGUUUGAGAUUGAAUUAUGGACUUAUUAGGCACAAUCCAACCAACCUUUUUUAAAAUUUUUACAAUGAAGCCCCUCAAAAAAUUCUCUCUGUUUGUUGAACAUUAGUGAAAUGAAAUAUUAAGACAUGCUGAUUGAUACUUAUUACAUCCAGGAUCAGUUUGUCGGAUAUUAUAAUCCAGACCUUAUCAAGAAAGGAAACUUAAAUUAUUAGGUGUAUUUUAAUUUAAUGCUUGGCAUCAUAUAAAUGAGGUUUUAGUUUUUCAUGAUCGAAAACCAGAAAGGUUUUUAUUCAACAAGCCUGUUUCAACUUUCUAGAGCAGUUUCCUUGCAUCUCUUGAUGAGCACCAAAAGAACAGCCUAUCAUGUCCUAUAGCAUCCGAAUUCCUAAAUAUGUCAAGGGUAAUACAUGGCAAACACUUCAUCGUACCCUUUUGGAUCCAAACACAUGAGUGGUGUCUUCCAAGUCCCAGCUGAUACUUUAAUCUCUGCUUGCCAUACUGUUUACACAGAAAUCAG
This 2886-nucleotide long non-coding RNA is filed under the name Musa acuminata (dwarf banana). RNAcentral describes it as "long non-coding RNA (MACU_LNC005143)". The record is from RNAcentral. Lineage: Eukaryota; Viridiplantae; Streptophyta; Magnoliopsida; Zingiberales; Musaceae.